UUGGGGAUAUUAAUGGAUAUGGAUAUCCGAAAUUUUAUCCGAACCCGAAUCCGAAUGAAACGGAUAUAUCCGAUGGAUAUGGAUAUGGAUAUGGAUUUGGAUAUGGAUAUAAAAAAUAAAAACGCGACGGAUAUGGAUUCGGAUAUGGAUUUUGAUUGUACCCGACCCGAACCCGAACCCGAACCCGAAUUUAUUUAGUAUUAUAUAUAAUAUAUAUAUAUAAAUUUGAUGUUAUAUUUGAAUUUGUAUUUUAAAAAUUUAAAUUUAAUAUAAUAUAUUUUGAAAUAUUGAAAAAAGAAAUAAUUGUUUCGGGUUCAAAUUUUCGGGUUCGGGUUCGGGUUCGGGUUUCGGAUUUUUGGUCGGGUUGGGGUUUGGAUAUGGAUUUUUAAAAUCCGUUGUGUUCGGGUUCAGGUUCGGGUUUGGGUCUCGGGUUUGGAGUCAGGUUCGGGUUCGGGUUCGGAUUUUAAAAAUCCGCCUCGAAUUCGACCCAUUGACAUCUCUACUCCCCACUUACCAGAUCGUCACCCAUUCCAGAGUUACUAUAGUUCUAGCACCAUUAAUCCUCUUAACUUUUUGAGACUAGCCACAACUCAAAAUAUUAUAACCGUAUUAAGAGGUUUAGUCAUAUUAUUUUUUAUAUAUAUUCCAAAUCUGGAUGUAUCAGAUUCUUUUUCCCUUUAAAUCAUGGCGUCUUUGUUAGAUUUAAGUACACUCACAGUUAUCAGGUGAUAUAAGACUUGUCUCGUUAGCCUUAUCCGACUUUAUGGGGAUUACUUGCUGUAUAAUUCUGGUUUAGCCAGACUUAUCUCACAUUUUCAGCUGGUAAUUGACUCUGAUAUUAACUGUAAUGUCCUAAGAUUUGGAAUAGUCCUAUAUAUGAAAAAUAAUAUGGUUAAAUUUCUUAACGUGGCUACAACAUUUUGGGCAGUGGGUAGGCCCAAGAGAUUAGAAGAGUUAAGUAUGUUUGAGUUAGAGUAGUUUUAGGAUGUGUGACCCUUUGAAAAGCGGGGUGUCGCAGUAUUGAUCUUAAUGAAUGG
RNAcentral lists this long non-coding RNA (1037 nucleotides) under Ananas comosus (pineapple). Its description in RNAcentral is "long non-coding RNA (ACOM_LNC020487)". Lineage: Eukaryota; Viridiplantae; Streptophyta; Magnoliopsida; Poales; Bromeliaceae. The record is from RNAcentral.